CAUGCACCGGUGGGGUCCCUUGACCUGGCCUUCAGGGGUCAGGCCGAAAUUGGCUCUCUGACAUUCCCUGAGGUUCCCAGAUUGUGAGAGGGUGCAGGCCAGGUCAAGGGACCCCACCGGUGCACA
Molecule: microRNA precursor, 126 nt
Filed under: Myotis brandtii (Brandt's bat)
Lineage: Eukaryota; Metazoa; Chordata; Mammalia; Chiroptera; Vespertilionidae
Description: mir-9193 microRNA precursor family
Rfam family: mir-9193 microRNA precursor family
Source: Rfam by way of RNAcentral